CCCCCCCCCCCUCCCGCUGCGCCGCUUCGUCCUCUCCGCCCGAGGCGAGCCGGCUAGUCUCGCGCUCUCUGCCUUGCAGCGGCACGGGAUCUGGGUGACGCGGGCUGCGGAAGCCAGGACCGGGCGGAUCCCGUCUCCGUCUCCUGUCCUGUCGUCUGUCUCCCCAUCUCUCGCUCUUCUCUCCGCCUCGUCAGGCUCGGCUAAGAGCGAGUGGCAAGAUGGCGGCGCCCAGGAUGCCACCCUCCCGGCUGUCGGGCAUCAUGGUGCCAGCACCCAUCCAGGACCUGGAGGCCCUGCGUGCCCUCACUGCGCUCUUCAAGGAGCAGCGGAACCGGGAAACAGCACCCAGAACAAUCUUCCAGAGAGUCCUGGAUAUCUUAAAGAAAUCUACUCAUGCUGUUGAGCUGGCCUGCAGGGAUUCUUCCCAAGUGGAGCACCUGGCUUCCAGUCUUCAGCUAAUCACUGAAUGCUUCAGAUGUCUUCGGAAUGCGUGUAUAGAGUGUUCUGUGAACCAGAACUCUAUCAGGAACCUGGAUACAAUUGGCGUUGCUGUUGAUUUGGUUCUUCUCUUUCGUGAACUUCGAGUGGAACAAGACUCUUUGCUAACAGCUUUUCGUUGUGGCCUGCAGUUUUUAGGCAACAUUGCCUCACGGAAUGAAGAUUCCCAGGCCAUUGUUUGGGUCCAUGCUUUCCCAGAGCUUUUUAUGUCUUGCUUAAAUCACCCAGACAAAAAGAUUGUUGCCUACUGUUCAAUGAUUUUGUUCACAUCUCUUAAUCCUGAAAGAAUGAAAGACCUGGAAGAAAACCUCAAUAUUGCAAUUAAUGUCAUAGAAGCUCACCAAAAGCAUCCAGAGUCAGAAUGGCCGUUCUUGAUUAUUGCAGACCACUUUCUGAAAAGCCCGGAGUUGGUGGAAGCCAUGUAUUCCAAACUCAGCGAUCAGGAAAGGGUCACACUGUUAGACAUUAUGAUAGCCAGGCUGGUGGGUGACGAGCAGCUGACGAAGGAUGACAUCUCUAUAUUUUUGCGCCAUGCCGAGUUGAUUGCAAACUCAUUUGUGGAUCAGUGUAGGAAUGUGCUAAAGUUGAUCUCGGAGCCUCACACAGAGGAUAAGGAAGCACUGGCUACCAUUCGGCUUCUGGACGUCUUGUGUGAAAUGACAUCCCACACUGAGCUUCUUGGUUACCUACAAGUUUUUCCUGGUCUGAUGGAACGAGUGAUUGAUGUUUUACGGGUGAUUCAUGUUGUUGGAAAAGAUACCACGAACAUUUUCAGUCCCUCUGACUCUCUAAAAGCAGAGGGUGACAUCGAACACAUGACUGAAGGGUUUAAAUCUCAUCUCAUUCGUCUCAUUGGAAAUCUGUGUUACAAGAAUAAAGAAAACCAGGACAAAGUGAACGAGCUGGAUGGCAUUCCUCUGAUCCUGGACAGCAGCAAUAUUGAUGACAACAACCCCUGUAUCCUUGACUAUGACCCACAACCAGCAAACCUGAUUUCUUCAUGGCUGAAAAAUUUCUGUCUAUACAUACACCGCAAUUUAUUUAUCCUGUCUGCUGAUGGACAUGUAGGCCGGUCCCAUAGUUUAACUAUGAUGAGCAGUACUACAGCAGAGCAUGAAACUCAGAGUGCCAGGAGGAAGGUCUGCCCUGCUUCUUCUGGGGAGUCAGUCCCCACAGACAAGAGAUGUUUGGAAGCUUCAUGGCCUUGAUAUGGGAGGUGAAUGCUGGAGCCACAUUGCCUGUGGCUAUGCCCUGGCUUCUCCACCUUUUAUUGCUGGGCAUGGACAGGUUACUCAGCCUCUUGGUUUUCAGGAUCUUGGUUUCCUCUUCAGAAGGUUGAAGAUAAUCAUAGAGUGCUUAAAACGGCGACUGUCAACUAGGUUGGAAGUGAGUCUGUCGCUAUUGUUUUGUUUACUGCUUUUCCUUUUUAUGCAGAUACACUGACCAUUCUCUUCUCAGCCUUGGCAAGUGGGAGAGACACUGAAAUAAAUGUCUUUCAAAGCUUCACCUGCACCGAGUGGUAGAGUGAUCUGAAUGGGUUCAGAUGAAGCAACUUUUCUCAUGGCUCUUCUAUUCCAGAGUUCUAAGCAUUUUAUAAACAUCUAUUGUCUCAGCAGGUGGGGCCUUGCUGUAAAGCUCAGCCAUGACACUGUUAGUGGGGACCUGGCUAUGACUGGCGUCCUGGGCAUUGUUUUCUUUAGAAGUCUAAUAAUCUCCCCAGCUGUCCCCACAAUAAUGAAGGUGGAUGUGCUUGUGUUGUGCGUCUGUAUGUGUUCCUUAACAUCUCACAGUCCAAAUCUGAGCAAGCUGUCUCUGGUUAAAUAGUUAGAUCACUUAAGCUGUACAUACCAAAGGCCAGAUAAGAUAGGAAGCCCAGGAAGAAAGCACCCCAGAGUGCUAUAGAAUACUGCUCAUAUGCCCUGUGUUCAGUGCACGUGCUGGAUACUUCUUAGCAUGUCUCAGAAGUGACGUCAGAGUGCUGCCCCAAAUACAAAUGGAACCACUUGUGGCCCCAAAGCCCUUUGGUGUGGUCUGGGUUAGAAGUGGUAUUGGUUGUUUCUGAUCCUGAAACCUGUAGUGUGAUAGGGGUGCCAGACUGUGCCUGCUUUGUACCACGCUCUGCUUUGAAGUGGGUAGUAAAAAGGAUUCCAGAAUAUGUAAUGUACAAAAUUAGUUUCAGUGCUCUAAGAUCCUUCACCACCAAAACCCCGUGAAGACAAGGUACCUGCGAGCACAGCCCUUCUCGCCACAGAAGCAUUUGGAGUGGGCAGUGCGAGUGAUGACUGCCUGGCAGGGAGAAUGUCGUCUUCCCAUGACUUCACUGCCAGCUGGAUGGGCCCACAGUAUGUUUUCUUUCUCAUCUUGGAUGCCGGGUGGUGUGCAUCUGGGAUUGAAGGAGUGAGCACGGAACCCAGCCAGGGUCCAGACAGAGGGCGGUAUGUGGCAUGGUUCCCCACCCUGCCCACAGAUGCUGUCAGGAAAUGGGAGCUUUCAGAAGGUGGAGCGAUGUGUGGGCUUCGAGGAGGCCCUUGAACAGUGUCUCACUCCUCUUUAAAGGUCACUCUAGGAAAAAUAGGUUGGACGUUGUAAAGAGUAAAUGUGGCCUUUGCACAGAAGAGCAGGUCUUUAGCAACAGAGCUGUUCAGGCGGUUUUGCACCAUCUCUGCAAUUUCUUUCUGUCUCCCUUGUGGCUGGAGAGGACAGGAAAGCAUCUGGUCUUUAAAGUGGUGAUAAUUCUGAGGUGGCUUUCCCUCUGUGUAAACUUGCAGAAACUACUUGCUAUUUGUAGCUUGUAUUAAGAACACAUAUUCCAUAUUCUUCACAUUAUGGCCUAUAACUCACGAAUGUGGCAAUUUUUUUCUUUCCUACCCUUUUCUGUUUGUUUUUCUCUUUCCCGCUUUCAGUGUUGGUAGCUAGCCAUUAGCAAGUUGACAGGUAUGCACACAUGAUGUGAGCUGUGUUCUGCUAGACAUUUGUUAGACAACAGGCCGCAAACCGUGGAAUGGCACAUGCAGCACUCAAUGAAACCCUUGAAUAUAGAUGUACCCUUGCAUUAAAACACACAACGCAGAAGACAGAUACAAGAUAAUCCAACAAUUUAGGGCAGUAGGAGGAGCCAGUGUGGGCGGUUUGUGAUGGUUACUGCAUACAUUGGUUCCAGCACCAUCUCAGGAACUCAGGAGGAUCUGUCCCCACUAAGCCUUCCUCUUUAGUUUCUGAAUGAAAAUAGUGUGUAAUGAAUGAGUAUUGAUAACUAAAGAUAAUGAUAAAAGUUAACAGUGAUAUAAAAUGAACUUCAUUCUGAAAGCAACAGAAAUCUCUCUGGAUAUCUAGAAAUGAUCGGCCUGUUCAGAGAAGCUAAGUAGUUGUAAAGACAGUAAGCCAAAGAAGCAUGGAGUUUAACAUGCUGCCAUUCAGAUGUUGACCUGUGGCUUUGGAUAUGCAAGGAACUAGUAAGCAAGGGACUAUUAAAAGUAUGGAAUUGGGAUACUUACAUUUCGUUGAUAAUAGUUUAGAUAUCAAAGGCUUUUACUUUAAUUUUAGGAUAUAUAUGUACUUGACAUAAUAUCUAUAUAUGCAUGCCAUAUAAUAGUUGAUCUUUACCUACAUAGUAUGUUGAAAGGUUAUUUUAGACAGCGAGCCAGUGAAGGAACAGGAUCUACAUGCAUACAGCUUUGGAGGAGCUACUGCUAUAGGGCAGAAAGCAGGCAUGGCGGUCUUCCAACAAAACUGUGAGAAUAGUUGGUGACAGAGAAGUCUCCUUCAAGGGCCUUUACAAACCGUGCCAUGGAAGGAUUAUCUGAGGACCAGAGUGAAUGGUAAGUGCCUGCAUCACCACUAAGUAACACCCUUUUCAAACUAUGCAGAACUGAAGUUUAAGAGCAUAGCAAGCAGUCCUGUUAUAAAACUUGUAGAAAUGGUUUAUAUUACUAAAACCGAAGUGUGCUUAUUCCCCUCAUAUAAAGCAGGAAAACCUUGAGGGUAGGGACCAGGAAACAAGUGUUCAGCACCCCAGGCCUUCUUGGUAGGAGCUGGGUGGCCUCCAUCUACCUUCCCCUCAGAAACAGGAUUAACUCAUAGAGAAGGGGAAGCAGUGCUGCUUGGGAAGCACCUGUAGAGUUACUGUCAGAACGAGAGCUGGAAGGAGGCUCCUGGAGAGGAGUCGGCAGGCAGGACGGAGGUGUGCAGUGUGGCUCUGUUCUGCCACAGAGCCCUGGGUCACUCACGUGUCCUGGUCAAUAGAGAACUGAAUUUUUAGACUCUGAAAUUGAUUCCCUAACAUAUAUGAAAAUUAUAUCAAAUAUAUAAAACUGUUUAUAGUUUCUUGCCAGUUACUUGCCAACCCCCAUUCUCAGCAGGUUCCCAGAGAGGGUUUGGGCCUUGGCAACAGUCAUCUUUAGACUUGAAGUCUGUUGGAUUUGAUUACUAGAAACAUUCUGCCUAUAGCUGGAUGAAGUCUGUCUUAACAGUCAUGUGAGUUACAGAAAUGGGGAAGUGUGCUGUUAAAUUCCUUCACUGUGCUCUAGUUAUGAUGCAGUGGGUGGUGUACGCCGUGCGAAAUCUCACUGAAGACAACAGCCAAAACCAAGAUUUCAUUGCAAAAAU
Myodes glareolus (Bank vole) is the source of this 5103-nucleotide non-coding RNA. The record is from RefSeq and is a predicted model, not a curated record. NCBI's taxonomy places the organism in Eukaryota, Metazoa, Chordata, Mammalia, Rodentia, Cricetidae.